Molecule: ribosomal RNA, 322 nt
Filed under: uncultured bacterium
Lineage: Bacteria
Description: bacterial SSU rRNA
Rfam family: Bacterial small subunit ribosomal RNA
Source: RNAcentral
AACGAACGCUGGCGGCGCGCCUAAUACAUGCAAGUCGAGCGAGAAGACGUAGCAAUACGUUUGUAAAGCGGCGAACGGGUGAGGAAUACAUGGGUAACCUACCCUCGAGUGGGGAAUAACUAGCCGAAAGGUUAGCUAAUACCGCGUACGCUCCUUGGACUUCGGUUCAGGGAGGAAAGCGAUACCGUGGGUAUCGCGCUCUUGGAUGGGCUCAUGUCCUAUCAGCUUGUUGGUGAGGAACGGCUCACCAAGGCUUCGACGGGUAGCUGGUCUGAGAGGACGAUCAGCCACACUGGCACUGCGACACGGGCCAGACUCCUAC